GGGGUUGUGGCUCAGUGGAAGAGCGCUCGCGUAGCACAUGAGAGGUAAUAGGUUUGAUCCUCAGCACCA
Molecule: transfer RNA, 69 nt
Filed under: Marmota monax (woodchuck)
Lineage: Eukaryota; Metazoa; Chordata; Mammalia; Rodentia; Sciuridae
Description: tRNA.Ala
Source: RNAcentral